AACGAACGCUGGCGGCAGGCUUAACACAUGCAAGUCGAGCGCCUCGCCAGAGGAGCGGCAGCCGGGUGAGUACCGCGUGGGAACGUACCCUUAUCUUCGGAAUAGCUCUGGGAAACUGGAAGUAAUACCGAAUGUGCCCUUAGGGGGAAAGAUUUAUCGGAUAAGGAUCGGCCCGCGUUGGAUUAGCUAGUUGGUGGGGUAAAGGCCUACCAAGGCGACGAUCCAUAGCUGGUCUGAGAGGAUGAUCAGCCACAUUGGGACUGAGACACGGCCCAAACUCCUACGGGAGGCAGCAGUGGGGAAUAUUGGACAAUGGGCGCAAGCCUGAUCCAGCCAUGCCGCGUGAGUGAUGAAGGCCUUAGGGUUGUAAAGCUCUUUCACCGGAGAAGAUAAUGACGGUAUCCGGAGAAGAAGCCCCGGCUAACUUCGUG
This 431-nucleotide ribosomal RNA is filed under the name uncultured bacterium. RNAcentral's name for it is "partial 16S ribosomal RNA". It matches the Rfam family "Bacterial small subunit ribosomal RNA", at positions 29 to 507 of the family's 1533-position model. The record is from RNAcentral.